UCAAGCUAAAAAGGGCGCAAGGUGAAUGCCUUGGCACUGGGAGCCGAUGAAAGACGUGGUAAGCUGCGAAAAGCUUCGGGGAGGAGCAAACAUCCAUUGAUCCGGAGAUAUCUGAAUGGGGCAACCCAAUGGAGUUCAUACUCCAUUAUCCAAUACUGAAUCCAUAGGUAUUGGAAGGGAACCGCCUGAACUGAAACAUCUAAGUAGGGCGAGGAAGAGACAUCAAACGAGAUUCCGUAAGUAGUGGCGAGCGAACGCGGAAGAGGGCAAACCGAGAGUAGAAAUACUUUCGGGGUACGGAGCGCAUUUAAGACUUGAGUUGUUAACCGAACGGCAUGGGAAGGCCGGUCAGAGAGUGUGAGAACCACGUAGGUGAAAACGACAAGAGCUGAGCGAUUUCCAGAGUACGGCCAGACACGUGAAACCUGGUCGGAAGAUGGGGGGACCACCCUCCAACCCUAAAUACUACCCAGUGACCGAUAGCGUAUAGUACUGUGAAGGAAAGGUGAAAAGGACCCCGGGAGGGGAGUGAAAGAGAACCUGAAACCUUGUGCCUACAAGCACAUAGAGCCCGUCAAAGGGUGAUAUGGUACUUUUUGUAGAACGGUCCGGCGAGCGAUUGUACGUUGCGAGCUUAAGGUCUUAAGGACUGGAGGCGUAGCGAGAGCGAGUCUAAACAGGGCGUUUAGUAGCGUGCAAUGGGCCCGAAACCGGGUGACCUACCCAUGAUCAGGCUGAAGUGAAAGUAAAAUUUCAUGGAGGGCCGAACCGACCUCCGUUGAAAAGGCGGCGGAUGAAUUGUGGGUAGCGGAGAAAUUCCAAUCGAACUCGGAGAUAGCUGGUUCUCCCCGAAAUAGCUUUAGGGCUAGCCUCAUGUUAGAUAUCCGGAGGUAAAGCACUGAAUGGCCUAGCGUCCGAGAGGAUAGCGAAGCCUAUCAAACUAAGAAUGCCGGAAUAUUGAUGCAUGGGAGUCAGACAGUGUGAGAUAAAUCUCAUUGUCAAAAGGGAAACAGCCCAGAUCUACAGCUAAGGUCCCAAAUUGUAUCUAAGUGGAAAACGAUGUGGAAAUACGCAGACAACCAGGAUGUUGGCUCAGAAGCAGCCACUCAUUUAAAGAGUGCGUAAUAGCUCACUGGUCGAGCGUCUCUGCGCGGAAAAUUUAACGGGGCUAAGAUACAAACCGAAGCUUAGGCUGCAUACGGAAGUAUGCGGGGUAGGGGAGCGUUGUGUAAGCGGAGAAACAGUAGCGUAAGCGGCUGUGGAGUUUACAGAAGUGAGAAUGCCGGAAUGAGUAGCGCGAAUGAUGUGAGAAUCAUCAUGGCCGGAAACCUCAGGUUUUUGGAGGAAGGUUCGUCCGCUCCAAGUUAGGCGGGAGCUAAGGUGAGGCCGAAAGGCGUAGCCGAUGCACAGACGGUAGAGAUUCCGUCCCCACCGAAAGAUUUAAGCGCAGGGACACUUUUAGAAGGUCGGAGCCAGGUGUUGGUUCUGGUAGAGAUCGAGGGAAGAUUAGUACCGAAGUCCGGCUGGAUAAGAGGCGAGAAAAGCUGCGUGUAUAUCUAAGGUGCCCGUACCGCAAACCGACACAGGUAGGUAGGAAGAAGAUUCUAAGGCCAACGGGAGAAGGGUUGUUAAGGAACUCGGCAAAUUGACCCCGUAACUUCGGGAGAAGGGGUGCUGCAGCAAUGCAGCCGCAGAGAAUCGGCCCAAGCAACUGUUUACCAAAAACACAGGUUUGUGCUAAAUCGAAAGAUGACGUAUACGAGCUGACGCCUGCCCGGUGCUGGAAGGUUAAGAGGAGAUGUGCAAGCAUUGAAUCGAAGCCCCAGUGAACGGCGGCCGUAACUAUAACGGUCCUAAGGUAGCGAAAUUCCUUGUCAGGUAAGUUCUGACCCGC
RNAcentral lists this ribosomal RNA (1894 nucleotides) under human gut metagenome. RNAcentral describes it as "bacterial LSU rRNA". It matches the Rfam family "Bacterial large subunit ribosomal RNA", at positions 3 to 1991 of the family's 2925-position model. The record is from RNAcentral.